Molecule: ribosomal RNA, 253 nt
Filed under: uncultured bacterium
Lineage: Bacteria
Description: partial 16S ribosomal RNA
Rfam family: Bacterial small subunit ribosomal RNA
Source: RNAcentral
UACGUAGGUGGCAAGCGUUGUCCGGAUUUAUUGGGUUUAAAGGGUGCGUAGGCGGCUUUAUAAGUCAGUGCUGAAAUAUCCCGGCUUAACCGGGAGGGUGGCAUUGAUACUGUAGAGCUUGAGUAAAGUUGAGGUUGGCGGAAUUGACGGUGUAGCGGUGAAAUGCUUAGAUAUCGUCAAGAACACCGAUUGCGAAGGCAGCUAACUAAGCUUUAACUGACGCUGAGGCACGAAAGUGUGGGGAUCAAACAGG